This 497-nucleotide ribosomal RNA is filed under the name uncultured bacterium. Its description in RNAcentral is "partial 16S ribosomal RNA". It matches the Rfam family "Bacterial small subunit ribosomal RNA", at positions 28 to 507 of the family's 1533-position model. The record is from RNAcentral.
GAUGAACGCUGGCGGCGUGCCUAAUACAUGCAAGUCGAGCGAACGGACGAGAAGCUUGCUUCUCUGAUGUUAGCGGCGGACGGGUGAGUAACACGUGGAUAACCUACCUAUAAGACUGGGAUAACUUCGGGAAACCGGAGCUAAUACCGGAUAAUAUUUUGAACCGCAUGGUUCAAAAGUGAAAGACGGUCUUGCUGUCACUUAUAGAUGGAUCCGCGCUGCAUUAGCUAGUUGGUAAGGUAACGGCUUACCAAGGCAACGAUGCAUAGCCGACCUGAGAGGGUGAUCGGACACACUGGAACUGAGACACGGUCCAGACUCCUACGGGAGGCAGCAGUAGGGAAUCUUCCGCAAUGGGCGAAAGCCUGACGGGGCAACGCCGCGUGAGUGAUGAAGGUCUUCGGAUCGUAAAACUCUGUUAUUAGGGAAGAACAUAUGUGUAAGUAACUGUGCACAUCUUGACGGUACCUAAUCAGAAAGCCACGGCUAACUACGUG